UACGGAGGACGCAAGCGUUAUCCGGAUUUAUUGGGUUUAAAGGGUGCGUAGGCGGGAAAAUAAGUCAGUGGUGAAAUCCUACAGCUUAACUGUAGAAUUGCCGUUGAUACUGUUUUUCUUGAGUAUGGUCAAGGAAGGCGGAAUGUGUAAUGUAGCGGUGAAAUGCUUAGAUAUUACACAGAACACCAAUUGCGAAGGCAGCUUUCUGGCCCAUUACUGACGCUGAGGCACGAAAGCGUGGGGAUCGAACAGGAUUAGAUACCCCCGUAGUCCCU
This 275-nucleotide ribosomal RNA is filed under the name uncultured prokaryote. Its description in RNAcentral is "partial 16S ribosomal RNA". It matches the Rfam family "Bacterial small subunit ribosomal RNA", at positions 524 to 798 of the family's 1533-position model. The record is from RNAcentral.